UGCCCGGUGGUGUAAAUGGUAGCACAAGGGAUUUUGGUUCCCUUUGUCCAGGUUCGAAUCCUGGCCGGGCAGC
RNAcentral lists this transfer RNA (73 nucleotides) under bacterium HR36. Its description in RNAcentral is "tRNA-Gln". It matches the Rfam family "tRNA". Rfam says of the family: Transfer RNA (tRNA) molecules are approximately 80 nucleotides in length. Their secondary structure includes four short double-helical elements and three loops (D, anti-codon, and T loops). The record is from RNAcentral.